GGAGCGGCCGGCCUUCCCGUAGACGUGUUGACCUCGCCUUCGCCCCGGGUGGUCGGAGAAGGCUUGAGGGCCGUACAAAUCCGUACGAGUCCUUCGAAGCGCUUGGUGUUCGGUGCUAGCGAAAAGACGAGAAUUGCUGGGAAACCGUCUGGCUUGUCAAAAUACUUUGCAGCGUAGGGUGGGGAAUUUCUUGUUUUGGUCUGUUUUUACCUGCAUCGUUUGUGGAUAAACUGUAACGCAGUUGACAGCUAAGCACAAAUUCUGUGGGAGUGUUUCUGUGAGUUGGGAGAAAGGUCAAGCUGGAUCCAGCUUAAGGUGUGAACAAAAGCGGCCCUUGGGCUGRGGCUUCACAAAGGAAGGUUUGGUCUGGAGGUUUUAAUGGCACAGGCGAAGACCUUUGGAAAAGAGCUUUUAUCAUGGAAACCAAGUAUCUGUAAGAAUUAACUAAACCAGCAUCAUUAAAAAAAAAAAGUUUCUGAGAAUGCAGAAAUGCUUUCUUCUUCGUUUCCUCUCAAGUGAGAACAAGUUAUGUUUAUCAGUUUGUCCUGACAAAAUGAUGAAUGGCGAUUAGUUGAAACAGCCUGGCUACUUGCUUUGGUGUUGGUUCUGCUAUGUGUGUGCCCUGCUCAAAUGCAGAACAGCCUCCAUGCAGGUGGAAGCAUCUCAAACAACUUCAUCCAGGACAGAAACAAAUAAAGAAGAGGAAAUCCUGAAGAGCCUUGUGGACAUGCUGUGGCAUGUAAUGCAAGGUGUUCCCACCCACGGCCCACCACCAAAGCAUACAGCCAUUAUACCCACAGAAGGGCAGAAUUCUUUUAAUGAUACACUAGAUUCUCUUUGGUUAAAAGUAUACAGAAAGCAUGUUAAAAAGCAAAAAAACCUUAAAAGCUUUGCAAUUACAGGAAGAUCUAUUCCCUCUACAACACCAUCAUUUUUGACACUCCAAGCUGAGCCAGAUGUUUCUGUUGUGUUACGUGCUUAUGAAUCUACACAGUUGAAAGCACCACUGAAAAAGCUAGCCUUAAUAUUUCAGACUGUUGCUACAAAAAAAAGAAAAAUAAAUAAGUCUUUUGAUGAGUUAAUAAAUGAGCUUAGUGAAAACUUUAAAGAAUAUUAAGAAAGAAAUGGUAAAUACCACUAUUAAGUUUGAAAAUCCAAAACCUGCUAAUGAAAUGAUGAAAAAAGCUGCAUGAAUUUAAGAAGGUGGAACAUGAACCUCUAGGCAAAGAAGUCUUGAGAAUAAUUGAAACAUUACAAAAAGCAGUAGAGAAUGCACCUACCAAUGUUAAACAAAAUCCGCAUUUCAGGGGGCAUGUUGGAUUGGCUGAAAUCUAGACAGCAACAUCUCAAGCACCAGAAGAAGUAGAGAAUUUGUUAGAACAACCGUGUAUUUUUUCUAAAGCUUCCCUUGCUCCUCCCUCUCCAUCUCUGUCUCCACUAGACUGUCUAGGAGAGAAUUCAGCUGAAACCAGAAAAUUAAGAACUUUGAUUAACCUGUUUUAUGAUUUUAGUCCUGAAUUAAAUACAUAUAUUGAUACUUAUCCUGAGAAAAAUAUCACAAAGAAUAUUACUGAAAAAGCUAUUGUUGUGACUAAGGCUCUAAAACAGGUUUUCUGUGGAAAUCGGAGCACAACAAAAAAGCAGGAAGGAAAUCAUUAGAAGAUACUAAACUUUUAAACCAUGCUUUUAAGAAUGCUAAAGACACAAUUAAAAAAAAACACAACGAAUAUCUGCAAUAUUGUCAUUGCCUUUCCUUGAGGUUUUAAAGAUCAAUUUUCAGUUUUCUCUGUUAUCCAAAUCGGAUAUGUUAUAACCGUAUUCAUCCCAGUAAUUAAAAACUAUCAUUUUUAAAUGAUCAUACUCACGUCUGUGAUUUGAAAAUGACUUUGACAGGCUUYUUCUGUGAAAAGAUCCAUGUUUGCAUUUGAAUGAAAUAUGCUUGGUCUAGUUACAGAGCUCUCUCUACUGCAAGAAUAUUCUGCAUUACUGUAGGUGCACCACUUAGUGUAGAGAACUGGAAUUUUUUUUAAAUCUUUUCUAAACCUAAAUAUCACUAAAUAUAUCUGCACUCAUGGAUUUGUGCCACAAUAAUACUAGGCUCACAUUCAGAUAAGUACAACAYGCAUAUUCCUGGUAUUUUACUACUAUGUGCAGAACAUAAUUACUUUUUAUAUUUAAUUUUAAAAUACAUUUCUAACUUUCUAGUACAGUCAUUCUUUCAUAAAUUUGUCAUAUUCAAUUAAAAUGUUUUUUCAAAACUCUUCUUCCUCUGCCUGGAGAAAAUAAAAAGCAACAGGCUGUUUUAAUGUAUGCCUAA
Molecule: long non-coding RNA, 2317 nt
Filed under: Apteryx haastii (Great spotted kiwi)
Lineage: Eukaryota; Metazoa; Chordata; Aves; Apterygiformes; Apterygidae
Description: lncRNA (ENSAHAG00000000082.1)
Source: RNAcentral